GCCCCUGUGUCCCCGGCCAGGCACCCGGCUGCCCUCUCUGUCCCACCUUCUCCCUUAGCGAGGCCCUGGUGCUCCGCCCACGCUCCAUCCGAGCUGUUCCCACCACCCCUGCCUCUGCGCUCUCCCUGCCUCCUCCCCGCUCAGCUCUGUGUCAAGACAAGGUCAGAUGUGCCUCCUGUCCAGGCCCCCAACCGGGGGCUGGGCUGGGGCCUCACUGAGCUCCCACCCCCCACGCACGCAGCUUUCUCCAGGAAAGUCGUCACCGUCGGUUCCUACCGAGCUCCCGUACUUUCCACUGCAAUUACGCAUGUGUAUGGAGAUGAUCAUUUUAACAAAAACGAGGCCGGGCGCAUGGCCGCUCUUCACAACCUCUGAAAAGGCAGCGCUGCAGACCAGACAGCCACACGACUUGGAUGCCUUCCACGUCCCGGGGACAUGAGUCAGAUCGCCUGGGAGACGAGGAGAGAAAUCAGACAGGAGCCUGUGACCAGACAGCUCCUAGCACCUCCGGCAAACAGACCUCACAGCACAGCGUCCUCACAAGGA
Long non-coding RNA from Myotis davidii, 546 nucleotides. RefSeq lists it as uncharacterized. Lineage: Eukaryota; Metazoa; Chordata; Mammalia; Chiroptera; Vespertilionidae. The record is from RefSeq and is a predicted model, not a curated record. The transcript is spliced from 3 exons.